This is a long non-coding RNA of Zea mays, 5071 nucleotides long. RefSeq lists it as uncharacterized. NCBI's taxonomy places the organism in Eukaryota, Viridiplantae, Streptophyta, Magnoliopsida, Poales, Poaceae. The transcript is spliced from 8 exons. The record is from RefSeq and is a predicted model, not a curated record.
AGCGCUGUCAGUACAAGAAACUACUCCUGAAGCAUUGUUCUAUCAAUUCCAUGGUACAUAUGAACAUAUUUAACAGUUUUCAUUGUUUACAGCACCUGACACAGAAGUUUGUUGUUUCUCUGCCUUCAUAAUUUUUUCGUUGCAAACACUUACCAUCCUAAAGUUUUUUGGCUUAUCAAAAAUCUGUUAUACCUAUAUUGUAGGGGUUUUUUUAUUUUUAAGUGUAGUGUGAGUGCAUGAUUCAUUUCAUUGAGUUUCAUAAAAUAGGAAACUUUCAAGUUUUUGUAAGUGGCUUUUGGCAUUAAGGACAUAUACGUCAUCAUAAAAUAGGUAUGGAAUGCAAAAAAAUUAGAAAUAUACAAAUAUGCAGGCUGCACGUUGUGGCUAUGAGGGUUCUGUGAACGAGGCCAUCAAGAUGUUUAAUCCCAUGGUUCAUGUUGGGUUCAUCCAGAACAUGUGGCACGUGCCUGCAAUAUGCUUUGUUGCAGUUUACAAUGAACUAUGUUUCUUACAAUGUUUAUAUCUUCCUGCGCAAUUGCACCUAGCAGUUGAGGAGUGCCUCUUUGGCUCUUUUCGUGUAAGCAUUAGAUCUUUUACUACCUACAUUCUUCUUGUGUUUUCUUGGCUUACUCGAUCGCGAAGUAUUAAUCUCUAUUUGUGACAGAUGGCUUGGCAAGAUUAUACUAGAGACUUGUAUUUCUCAUAUCCAUAUUUGGCUUAGGUAUGAUUCUUGUGUCACUGCUACAUAUAUUUUUCCUAAUUAUUGGAGGUACUUCCAUUUAGCCUUGCAGUAAUAUAUUCCUAUAUAACUGUAUAGCAUGCUGGAUAUAAGGUCAACUCUGAUAUUUUUUUCUCAUAUAUCAAUAGUUAAUUCAACUGAACUAAAAAUGCUGCUCAAAUACCUUUGCUUUUCUACAGUGUGACCAAGCUUUUUUAGGUCUAGCAUGCCAAAUGGACAGCCAAAAUGGCUUUGUUUCAUACCAGAUUAUCCUAUGCUUAUCUUCAUGCUUACUAUAGCGAUCUAUCUUCUUGUAAGUUGCCAACUUCAAACCCAUCUCAUUACUUAUUGGGAAAGAAAAUUGUUUCAUUGAACAGUCAUAAAAAGGAUACUCAUUUCAUUAUCUAAGGGGUGUUUGGUUUAAAGAAUAAAUCCAUUCGAGAAUGAUGUGGUGCAUCAUCAUGAGUCCAUUCCACAAAUUUGGUGGAAUGAACUCAUUCCCCCCAUAUCAAAAACAGUAACAAUUUCCUUAUCGAUUUUUUCUUAGCAGCUAACCACUAGGUCAUGUGGGUUUCUUUUUAGGCACAUGAGAGGCGCACAACCGAAUCAACAGUGAGCUAGACCAUUGGAAAUAUGGGGAAGAUAUUGUACUCUGGUUUCCAUAUUUUCACUCCAAAUGUUUUGAUUUAGCACAUGACAAUAUAUUUGAGCAUCUAAAUCUGAUGGCAAUUGAUUCAAGCUAAUGAUGCAUUUUGUUUUUAUUUGGUUCAUGGCCAAGAAUUGGGACUGAAUAUCAAACAUUCUACUAGGCAAUCAAAAGAUGUCAUCAAGGCACUGAAGAAAUGGAUUGGCCACAGGAAUCCAAAAGUUCAACUUCUUGCUCUAAGUAUGUGUUUGGGGGACCACAUGCAAGAUAUCCACAAUACUAUGUAGCAUACCAUGAGUUGGUGUCUGGCAGCGUGCUAGAGCUGAAUUCCACAAGAGACCCGAGAAACAUGCACUUUGUUUGAUGGUCAGUCACAGGGAGCAAGGAAUAAGCGUAGUACUGACUAGCAGGGAGCAAGGAAUAAGCGUAGUACUGACCAAUAGGAUGAAGUAGAAUCUUCUGCUCCCAAUGAUUCUCCUGCUUUGAGGUGUGUUUUUUUACAUUUUAUUUUGUGUGCCGAUGUCUUUUUCUAUCUGUUUCUCCUCUACACUUAAAUAGCUUAACAUUUAAUUCUUUCUCUAUUGUCUCUUACUAGCACAAAAUCUAUCAAACAAUAUAAUAUUGUGUGCAAGGAUUUAAAGUAUGUUUUCUUGGGAGCAAGCAACGCUGAGGCAUACCCUAGGUGCCAUACGAUGCCACAUGAUUUUAAUUAUGCCACACAAUGUUGGUUCUUUUUAUGGUAUGUCAGUUUGCCACUUUAGUGAUAUAUUGGAAAAAACAGGGGAGAUAAAUCCUUAAUGGUACAUAUGCGCUUCCUGAAUAAGCAAUCCUAUUUCUUGUAAGCUGUUAUUUUAGUAAAUUUGUGUCUUAAUAGUACUUUCUAUAAAUAUUUCUCCUGACUCUUUUGUCAUGUAUACCCUUCACUAAUAUCCUUUUUUUAUCAAUGUUGUGGCUAUUAGCUUGCAUCUUGGGCAGAGGGAUAACAUUUCUUAUCUUUUAUUUUGUGUUUCAUUGUGCUGCAGGAUUUAUAUUCUGUCUAUGGAUGAAAUGAGCAAUCUAAUAAAUCCACACUUGUAUAAUUGAAUAUUUAAUUUAAUUUAAUUCGUGGGCAAUUUGAUAUUGUCCAUACCAUAGUGACCGGUUGUCUUAUGUGGUGCUAAUAUUUAACAUAAAAUGUGAUAUUUGCAUUAUAUAUAUAUGGUUCUUUUCUGCCUUGCCCACAUUCAGUAUUUUCUUUGUUUACAUAAAAUGAAACAAUUAAUUAGUGUGUGCAUAGCAUUAUCUUUUGCUAUAACUUGUUCUGAUCUCCAGAUAUAUUCUUCAAUUCUAAAAGAUAGUUGCAUAUGUCCUUUACCUGAGAGUGUAGUCCCUUUUGAUGUUUAUGGGGUGGAAGACUUCAAGAUAGAAGAUACAAAUGUUCACAACCCUACUACUCACAAAUUUCAGGAAGAUCCAAAAAGUGAUCCUAGACACUGUAAGCUUCAACAUGAGUAUGAGGUAUUUGAUCUGAAAACUGUUCCCCAGAACAGCAGGUUCACCAUUAAUUAGUAUACAUUUGUAUGGCUUGACUUUCCAUUACACAAGGAGAGACUAGCCACUCUAUAAAUAUAAAAGGUGACAACUGAUUGCCAACAAACAGUUAAAUUUACCAAACAAGUUACUUUUUCGUUUAUCUUGUCUUCUAAUCUACUAUUGUGGCACGAUGUAUGCUUCAAUUAAAGAGUAAAUUGUUGACUUCAUGCCAUGGCAUGCUAGGCACAAUGUAGUGAAUGAGCACUUUUUAAUUGUUGUUCCUUGUUGUGAAGUAACCGUGAGUGUUUGUCCCAUGAGUUCUGUUUCAAUAUUCUUUCUUAAGAUAAUUGCUUACAAUUUUUAAUUACAUUUUGGUAUUCUUAUCAGCCAUAUCCUGAUUACAAGCUGGUUGUUAGCCAUCAUGACUAUAGCUUAACUUCUAAGCUGCCAAAGGAGAGAACUUCUGUUGUAACGAUACUAAGAAACCAAUUGAUCGUGUAUUUAGCACAUAUGAGUUCUUAGUUGAAGUUGUAGCUAGAUUCCUUGUGCACCCAAACUUAACUUCUGUGAAGUUAAAGAGUACCCGUGUGUUAACAAAUUAUUGUGUUGUCCGAACUUUAGAUAUCCGGCCUUGGAAGUACUUGGUACCAUGUAUGAGGGAAGAUCUGUUUGCCAGGAUUACUGGGUUAACGAACAACUCAUACUUUGAUGGAGCACAUGAGGUUCGACAUUAUCUCAGGAAGCAUUCGGAUCUUGGUCGUAUUGUGCUUGAAGUUGCUAAGGACUCGCAAAUUCCCCGCCAAGUAAACUGCUAGAAAACUUUUCAGAGGUGGACAUGAUGAAGAUGAUAGUGCUGAUGCCGACACAAAUGAUGUUGUUGUACCUCGAUAACUCCACUUUCUUCCUAGCCCUUUAGAGAUGAUAUGACCAUCUUCGUUCGGCUAUUUUCCCAGCACUGGUCUAUACCGCGGAUUGAUGCAUAAACAACUGCCUUAGAAAAACAUAGUUUUGAAGGAUAAAACUCAAGAUUAGCAAUGACAACUUAAAUAGUCAUCAUAGCUGAUGAACAUCUUAGCUACCAAAAAACAUGUUUAUCCAUCUAGAAACCUUUUCCCCCUGCUCAGUGCUCGCUGCCCUAUGAUUACCAAGUUUGAGAAUUCUUUUUCCAAUAGAAUUUGUAGGCUACAAUAACCUGGCUCAAAGAAUGUGAAUUCAUUUCCCUUUGUACUAAAGAAUCACAAGUAGUUGUCUGUACUCCUAAACAUGAAUAAGUGCAAUCAUUUUGUAGAAAUUAAAUCAUGUGUCAUUCUGUGCAGAAGAUACUAAUAGUACUACCACUACCGUGUUCUACUUCAACAACAAACUUCAGAAAAGAUUAAGAGGUCAACAUUUUAAAAUGAAUGGACUUUUUUAUAUACUGUUUGCAAAUGCAGGUUUGUAGAAACUCUGAAUUGUAUGUGCAUUAGCUUCCACAUGGUUCGGAAAACAAUAACUAUAUUGAUCAAAUCAGGUCUAUGUCUCAACUGUACAAGCCAAUAAUUAUCCAAUCACUUGCACGCAAUGGCAUCCUGAGAAAGCCAUUUUUGAGUGGAGGAAACCAAUGAUCCCACACAGCGAAGAUGCAAUACAGGUUACUCAACAUUUUGCCAAUCAUUUUAUCAGGUUUGUUGUUGUAGGCUUUAACUUCUAUUAUUAUACAAUUCAAGUUGGCAGUACUUCAUGUUGGUUUAAGCAUAUGCAAGAAAGGACCUUGGUUUGAUGAAACUUGCAAGAGUGGUGAAAGAAAAAUGGAGUUCAUGCUUACCUAGCUCACCCUUUCCGUGUCGUGGAACAACCAAGCACACAAGUCUCCAAACAGGCCUCCUGCCGACAAAGUGCUGGAUAACUUAAUUUACAACUACAGACCAACAUUUACCGGAAAAAAAUCGAAAUCGUUUGAGGAGGUCUACAUCUUCUCCUGAGACUGUGGAUUGAACGCCUGAGUGUCUUCAGGAAUCUGCAGUUCUGCACUGCAUUGCUAUUGUAGUGUAACUAUGCAUUAGUAUUACCCCGUUGUACCAGAAGUUGUAUUUGUAUAGAUUCCUUGGACUGCCUGUAUUGCAGUAACCUUUCCACCGUAUGGGUGGCUCUAUAGAAUGCGUAUAAGCAUAAAUGAUAAUGAUAAUGUAAUAGACUGAAAAAAAUACUUGGAGAUU